Molecule: unclassified non-coding RNA, 355 nt
Filed under: soil metagenome
Description: partial contains 5.8S ribosomal RNA, internal transcribed spacer 2, and large subunit ribosomal RNA
Rfam family: 5.8S ribosomal RNA (bases 1-120)
Source: RNAcentral
GAUGAAGAACGUAGCGAAAUGCGAUAAGUAAUGCGAAUUGCAGAAUUCAGUGAAUCAUCGAAUCUUUGAACGCACAUUGCGCCCGCUAGUAUUCUGGCGGGCAUGCCUGUCUGAGCGUCAUUUCAACCCUCGCCCCCGGCUUUUGCUGGGAGCGGUGUUGGGGAUCGGCCGCCCGUCACUGGGAGGCCGGCCCCGAAAUAGAGUGGCGACCACGCCGUGUGCUCCUCUGCGUAGUAGUAAAUCACCUCGCAGGCGGACAGCGGUGCGGCCUGCCGUAAAACCCCCAACUCUUUCUGGUUGACCUCAGAUCAGGUAGGAAUACCCGCUGAACUUAAGCAUAUCAAUAAGCGGAGGG